GAAAUGUUCAGUGCUGUCGAAGAUGGAGAUGUUAAUAGUAGAAGAAAGCGCAGAACAGAGCGAAAAUGGGCAAGGUAUUGUAGAUUUAAAACAUCUUUCAAAUAUGUUAAUAUGGGACAAGUUAGUGUUUACACUUAUCCGAUUGUCUUAUGCACCCAAACGUUGUUAGGCACCUUUUACACUGCAAUUUUUACUUGUUUGUUAUAUAUUUUGACAGAGUUGUAUCAAAUUAUAUACAAUUUUCAUUCUGCUUCUACCCAUUUCUCCGCGUUUUCAAAAUUUUAUUCUAGUUUCUACAAACGGAUUAUAAUUUUCAGCUGUCUUACAAAUUUCCUAGCGGGAAUGAUACAUCUGCAUGUUUUAAGUUUUAUGAAUUUUUUUAAUUGGAGGGGCAAAACCAAGUAUUUACCUGUAUUUUAAUAGGAAACAUGUUUUUUUCCCCAAUUAUAGUGCUUCUCAGCAACCCAAAGCACUUUUUGUCACACCUACUGUACUAUAAAUAUAAGACAUAUAUAACAAGAGUCAAUGAAACAGGUCUGCUGCACAUGAUCUUUGUGUACUUACAGUAAGGGUUAAGAAGUCUUGCAUUAUGAAAGCCAAGGCCUGGUGCUGGAAGGGUUACAUACUAAUAAUAAUAGUAAUGAUAAUUAUGGUAUUUAUAUAGUGCCCAUACAUUGCUAUUCUAAGCGCUACUACUAUGAAUGAAGUAUACUUACUGCAUGUGAAUGAAGUAUACUUACUGUGAAGACUACAGAAUGUUUAAUUCAAAUGAAUGUUUGCGUCAAGAUGCCAUGUGUCAUUAUAAUCACAAAAUCAUUAUUAGACGUGAACCAACCUUGAGACAACCAGACUCUCAAAUCUGUGCUUCUCUUCUUGUAGAAUAAUUUAUGACUAGAAAUCAAGUAAGACCCUGCCAAGUAUUCUCCUUGAAGUUGCUAUCCCCCAAAUGUUGAGUGAGACAAUAACUAUUUUUAUCCUGUUUAACUGUUUUACACACUUUUUGUACACAGCUUUGAUUAUUAAUGUAUGAGCUUUGCAUGGCUGUUGAAUUCUCAUUGUUUAUCUUUGUUCUUAUGACUUCUUUGUUCUGUGAUGAUGAUACACACAUUAGUAUUAAGGGACCGGCCAUUAAUAAUGGGUGGGGAGCAUGGGUGAGAUAAGGGAGGCGCUUCAAUUAUUUUUGCCUGAAUUGGGAGCGGCCUCAAACUGAAAAAUAUGUGACAAGGGGCGACCCCAAUUUUUUAAUACUUUCCUACUCAUUUUCAAAAUAUUUAGUUCCUAUAAUUGUAGUUUCCGUAGUUUGUUACGUGUGGUGAUGCAGUUCACCAUAGGAAUCGGAGUAAUUUAUAACAACCUUUUUGAAUACUGGUCCCCAGUACUUGUCCCAUUACUUAUUUUACACCAAAAAAUGUAACGAACUAAAUGUUGAUUUUUCUUUCUGUGUUGGUGUACUAAAUGUUGGAGGGGGUCCUACGUUUUCUAGAUGAAGGUGGGGGCGUCUUGAAAAUAAAGGUCUUGCAAUUGGGGGCGGCUCUAAAAAAGUUCAAUAUUUGGUAUUUAUCACCCACCGCCUCCCACCCCCCUCCCAUUAUUAAUGGCCGGCCCCUAAUUUAGUUUGCAGUGAAGUUCUAACUAUUCAGAAUUUUUUUCUGGCAAGCUUAGAUCCCCUGCGCUUGCCUCAAUCUUGGACAACCUCUGAUGCACCCAGUUGCUAUUAUCCCAGAAGCCUGUCAUAGGUCUCAGCAUAAUUAUACUUAUAUAAUAUAUAUAAAUUAUAUAUUAUAUAUAGUAAAUAAGUAUAGUAAUGGUGUCAUGCGAGCAUGGAUCAUGUCCUUUAAAACAAGUUCUGAAUGAUUUUGUAUACAUCUUUGUCAUUUUAAAUGUAGAACUUGGAUCAAGAGAAAACUCCACAUCUGUGAUUUUCUUCAAAAUAGAGAUGAAAAUUAGAUUGAUUUUCUGCUGAUUGCAUGUGCAUGAUGGUAUAUGAACUCCCUCUUAUUAACGAUUUGUCCUGUAUAUAUUUUCAGAUAUGAUAUCUCUAAAGGUGAACAAAAUUGACAGUGUAUCACCAUUAAGAAAUGGCCUUGCACUGUCUCCAAGGAAGAAGCAACUUCGUUCAAAGUCAACAGGAUCGUUAGGUUCACAUGCAAGUGGUUGGGAUGCG
Molecule: non-coding RNA, 2164 nt
Organism: Paramuricea clavata
Lineage: Eukaryota; Metazoa; Cnidaria; Anthozoa; Malacalcyonacea; Plexauridae
Source: the annotation of a GenBank genome assembly